GAUUAACGCUGGCGGCGUGCCUAACACAUGCAAGUCGAGCGGAGGUAUGAAGUAGUUUACUAUGACAUACUUUAGCGGCGGACGGGUGAGUAACACGUGGGCAACCUGCCUCGAAGUGGGGGAUAACAUUGAGAAAUCAGUGCUAAUACCGCAUAACAUACAGACACUGCAUGGUGACUGUAUCAAAGGAGUAAUCCGCUUUGAGAUGGGCCCGCGGCUGAUUAGCUAGUUGGUGAGGUAAUGGCUCACCAAGGCGACGAUCAGUAGCCGACCUGAGAGGGUGACCGGCCACACUGGAACUGAGACACGGUCCAGACUCCUACGGGAGGCAGCAGUGGGGAAUAUUGCGCAAUGGGGGAAACCCUGACGCAGCAACGCCGCGUGGAGGAAGAAGGUCUUCGGAUUGUAAACUCCUGUCUUCUGGGACGAUAAUGACGGUACCAGAGGAGGAAGCCACGGCUAACUACGUGCCAGCAGCCGCGGUAAUACGUAGGUGGCGAGCGUUGUCCGGAAUUAUUGGGCGUAAAGGGCGCGUAGGCGGCUCUUUAAGUCAGAUGUGAAAACCCAGGGCUUAACUUUGGGAGUGCAUUUGAAACUGAAGGGCUCGAGUGCAGGAGAGGUAAGUGGAAUUCCUAGUGUAGCGGUGAAAUGCGUAGAUAUUAGGAGGAACACCAGUGGCGAAGGCGACUUACUGGACUGUAACUGACGCUGAGGCGCGAAAGCGUGGGGAGCAAACAGGAUUAGAUACCCUGGUAGUCCACGCUGUAAACGAUGGAUACUAGGUGUGGGAGGUAUCGACCCCUUCCGUGCCGCAGUUAACGCAAUAAGUAUCCCGCCUGGGGAGUACGGCCGCAAGGUUG
RNAcentral lists this ribosomal RNA (860 nucleotides) under uncultured bacterium. RNAcentral's name for it is "bacterial SSU rRNA". It matches the Rfam family "Bacterial small subunit ribosomal RNA", at positions 28 to 896 of the family's 1533-position model. The record is from RNAcentral.